GGUUGACCUCGGAUCAGGUAGGAGUUACCCGCUGAACUUAAGCAUAUCAAUAAGCGGAGGAAAAGAAACCAACCGGGAUUGCCUCAGUAACGGCGAGUGAAGCGGCAAGAGCUCAAAUUUGAAAUCUGGCCCCUUGGGGUCCGAGUUGUAAUUUGCAGAGGAUGCUUCGGGUGCGGUCCCCGUCUAAGUGCCCUGGAACGGGCCGUCAUA
This 210-nucleotide ribosomal RNA is filed under the name Paecilomyces victoriae. RNAcentral describes it as "[Penicillium] victoriae partial 28S ribosomal RNA". It matches the Rfam family "Eukaryotic large subunit ribosomal RNA", at positions 1 to 207 of the family's 3401-position model. The record is from RNAcentral. Lineage: Eukaryota; Fungi; Ascomycota; Eurotiomycetes; Eurotiales; Thermoascaceae.